This is a small nuclear RNA of Acomys russatus (golden spiny mouse), 103 nucleotides long. The record is from RefSeq and is a predicted model, not a curated record. NCBI's taxonomy places the organism in Eukaryota, Metazoa, Chordata, Mammalia, Rodentia, Muridae.
GUGCUGGUGUCUGUAGCACAUGUGCUAAAAUUAGGACAAGACAGAGAUUGGUAUGGACCUCGUGCAAGGAUGACAUGAAAUCCAGGAAGAGUUCCAUAUUUUU